AACGUACGCUGGCGGCAGGCCUAACACAUGCAAGUCGAGCGGACCUUUCGGGGUCAGCGGCGGACGGGUGAGUAACGCGUGGGAAUAUGCCCUUCUCUACGGAAUAGUCCUGGGAAACUGGGGGUAAUACCGUAUACGCCCUUUGGGGGAAAGAUUUAUCGGGGAAGGAUUAGCCCGCGUUGGAUUAGGUAGUUGGUGGGGUAAUGGCCUACCAAGCCGACGAUCCAUAGCUGGUUUGAGAGGAUGAUCAGCCACACUGGGACUGAGACACGGCCCAGACUCCUACGGGAGGCAGCAGUGGGGAAUCUUAGACAAUGGGGGCAACCCUGAUCUAGCCAUGCCGCGUGAGUGAUGAAGGCCUUAGGGUUGUAAAGCUCUUUCAGCUGGGAAGAUAAUGACGGUACCAGCAGAAGAAGCCCCGGCUAACUCCGUG
Molecule: ribosomal RNA, 433 nt
Filed under: uncultured bacterium
Lineage: Bacteria
Description: partial 16S ribosomal RNA
Rfam family: Bacterial small subunit ribosomal RNA
Source: RNAcentral